GUAGAGCACCUUCUCUGAGCACUAGCUGGAACACGGCGGCUCUUCUUUCUUCCACUCUGAGACAAGAACACAUGCGCUUUUCCUAGUUUCGCUCUUGUGGCCCAGUCUGGAGUGCAGUGGCACCAUCUCAGCUCAUUGCAACCUCCGCCUCCCCGGUUCAAGCGAUUCUCCUGCCUCAGCCUCCCGAGUAGCUGGGAUUACAGGCACCCGCCACCAUGCCCAGCUAAGUUUUUGUAUUUUUAGUAGAGACGGGGUUUCGCCAUGUUAGCCAGGAUGGUCUCGAGGUCCUGACCUCGUGAUCUGCCCACCUCAGCCUCCCAAAGUGCUGGGAUUACAGGCGUGAGCCACCCCGCCCGGGCAAUUUGUAAAUUUUUAAGAAACGCCCUUUGUUGUACACAAAUUAGACUUCAAUAAAGUUAGCCUUAAAACAGAAAACUAGAGGAAAGGAGAACUGGCUCAAAUUUUCUGUACUUUUCUCCUGUAACCACCCCUCAUUUCCUCCUUGAGCUGUCUCCCUGUCAUGUGAACAUGGUCGUCAACGAGUGGCUUCUAUAAUUGCUCAGACUAUCUUUCCCUCAACUGAAUUCCU
This 589-nucleotide long non-coding RNA is filed under the name Homo sapiens (human). RNAcentral's name for it is "HSALNT0310929". Lineage: Eukaryota; Metazoa; Chordata; Mammalia; Primates; Hominidae. The record is from RNAcentral.